GUCUACGACCACGCGACCCUGAACAAGCCCGAUUCCUUCUGAUCUCGGAAGUUAAGCAGGGUCGGGCCUGGUUAGUAUUUGAAUGGGAGCCCACCUAGGAAGACCAGGUGCUAUAGGCA
This 119-nucleotide ribosomal RNA is filed under the name Pteropus alecto (black flying fox). Lineage: Eukaryota; Metazoa; Chordata; Mammalia; Chiroptera; Pteropodidae. The record is from RNAcentral.